GCCUUAGGGGAGACGGUACCGAGGGAGGAAGCCCCGGUAAACUACGUGCCAGCAGCCGCGGUAAUACGUGGGGGGCAAGCGUUGUCCGAAAUCCUUGGGGGUAAAGGGGGCGUAGGCGUUUUUUUGGGUUUGGGGUGAAAGCCCGGGGUUCACCCUUGAAAAUGCCUUGGAAACUAUAAGACUUGAGUGCUGAAGAGGAGGGGGGAAUUCCCCGUGUAGGGGUGAAUUGCGUAAAGAUGGGGAGGAAUACCAUGGGCGAAGGCGCCUCGCUGGCCAUUGAUGGACCUUGAGG
This 292-nucleotide ribosomal RNA is filed under the name uncultured bacterium. RNAcentral's name for it is "partial 16S ribosomal RNA". It matches the Rfam family "Bacterial small subunit ribosomal RNA", at positions 460 to 751 of the family's 1533-position model. The record is from RNAcentral.